RNAcentral lists this ribosomal RNA (427 nucleotides) under uncultured bacterium. RNAcentral describes it as "bacterial SSU rRNA". It matches the Rfam family "Bacterial small subunit ribosomal RNA", at positions 29 to 507 of the family's 1533-position model. The record is from RNAcentral.
AGCGAACGCUGGCGCAUGCUUAACACAUGCAAGUCGCACGGUCAGCAAUGGCAGUGGCGGACGGGUGAGUAACGCGUAGGUAUCUAUCCUUGAAUGGGGGACAACCGUGGGAAACUACGGCUAAUACCGCAUGAUCGCAGGAGACGAGAAGAAGCCUUGAGGAGGAGCCUGCGUCUGAUUAGGUAGUUGGUGGGGUAAAGGCCUACCAAGCCUACGAUCAGUAGCUGGUCUGAGAGGAUGAUCAGCCACAUUGGGACUGAGACACGGCCCGAACUCCUACGGGAGGCAGCAGUGGGGAAUAUUGGACAAUGGGCGCAAGCCUGAUCCAGCAAUGCCGCGUGGGUGAAGAAGGUCUUCGGAUUGUAAAGCCCUUUUGGCGGGGACGAUGAUGACGGUACCUGCAGAAUAAGCCCCGGCUAACUUCGUG